GACGAACGCUGGCGGCGUGCCUAAUACAUGCAAGUUGAGCGAUGAAGAUUGGUGCUUGCACCAAUUUGAAGAGCAGCGAACGGGUGAGUAACGCGUGGGGAAUCUGCCUUUGAGCGGGGGACAACAUUUGGAAACGAAUGCUAAUACCGCAUAACAACUUUAAACAUAAGUUUUAAGUUUGAAAGAUGCAAUUGCAUCACUCAAAGAUGAUCCCGCGUUGUAUUAGCUAGUUGGUGAGGUAAAGGCUCACCAAGGCGAUGAUACAUAGCCGACCUGAGAGGGUGAUCGGCCACAUUGGGACGGAGACACGGCCCAAACUCCGACGGGAGGCAGCAGUAGGGAAUCUUCGGCAAUGGACGAAAGUCUGACCGAGCAACGCCGCGUGAGUGAAGAAGGUUGUCGGAUCGUAAAACUCUGUUGGUAGAGAAGAACGUUGGUGAGAGUGGAAAGCUCAUCAAGUGACGGUAACUACCCAGAAAGGGACGGCUAACUACGUG
This 497-nucleotide ribosomal RNA is filed under the name uncultured bacterium. RNAcentral describes it as "partial 16S ribosomal RNA". It matches the Rfam family "Bacterial small subunit ribosomal RNA", at positions 28 to 507 of the family's 1533-position model. The record is from RNAcentral.